RNAcentral lists this ribosomal RNA (425 nucleotides) under uncultured bacterium. RNAcentral describes it as "partial 16S ribosomal RNA". It matches the Rfam family "Bacterial small subunit ribosomal RNA", at positions 354 to 796 of the family's 1533-position model. The record is from RNAcentral.
GUUAGGAAUAUUGGACAAUGGGCGAAAGCCUGAUCCAGCCAUGCCGCGUGAGUGAUGAAGGCCUUAGGGUUGUAAAGCUCUUUUGUCCGGGAAGAUAAUGACUGUACCGGAAGAAUAAGCCCCGGCUAACUUCGUGCCAGUAGCCGCGGUAAUACGAAGGGGGCUAGCGUUGCUCGGAAUCACUGGGCGUAAAGGGCGCGUAGGCGGACUUUUAAGUCGGAGGUGAAAGCCCAGGGCUCAACCCUGGAAUUGCCUUCGAUACUGGGAGUCUUGAGUUCGGAAGAGGUUGGUGGAACUGCGAGUGUAGAGGUGAAAUUCGUAGAUAUUCGCAAGAACACCGGUGGCGAAGGCGGCCAACUGGUCCGAAACUGACGCUGAGGCGCGAAAGCGUGGGGAGCAAACAGGAUUAGAUACCCUGGUAGUCC